GCGGCUGCCGACUCUCACCUGGUCCGCCGGCUGCGCCUGGCUCGCCCUGGCCCCCGGGGUGGGCUGCGGCUCCUGCUUCGCGGCCGUCAUCGCCGGCGGCCCGCGCUGGCGCUCGCUUCCUCGCGGGCGCUUCAGACUCGGGGACCGUCACUUGGCAGCGUUCGCAGCGAGCCGCGGCGGCGAGGCGAGACCAAGCGGCAAGUUAGUGCAGCGGCGAGCGGCGGGGCCCCGGCCCCUGACCGAGCUGCGGCGACGCCUCGUGCCUUCUUCCCGCAGUCCGCGCCCCCCACCGCCCGCCCCCGGGGGCUCCCCGCGCGGUGCUCAGCGCGCCAGGUGGAGCAGCCGGGCGCCGCGCUCCGGCCUCUCUUCGGCAACCGCAGCCGGGGGGGGGGAGAGCCCGGAGCGGCGCGAGAGCCCCCAACCCGCGCGCCCACGGCCGCCGGCUUCCGCGGUUACCCCGCCCCCCGCAGGCUUCCGCUAAAACCCGGAGAAGCGGAGCGCGCCCGUGCGAAGCACUGGGUGGCUCCAGCUCCGCCACUGCGCGCGCUCCAGCGCCCCAGAAGGCAGGGGGCAGCCCGGGGACCGGGGUCCCGGAGCCCCGUGGGAGGCGGGCAACACCUGUCGGGACCCGAGGGCGUGUCUGAGAUUGUGGCCUGAGGUGCUGCGCCUUCCGAUCCGGGGCAGCGGGCGUCCUGUAGCUGCGCCUUCCGAAUCCAGCCCAGAUUCUCCUACCAGCUGCUUGGGUCACGUCGGUGGAACUCCUAAAGGGAUGCCUUCAAAAUGUGUGAAUAAGCUUCAAUCAGACUGCCCUUCCCAAAGAAAAUAACUAUAAAUGCUGGAAAAACUACAAAACAGCCACCUGAAGGCACUGGCGAGAGACAAAAGCAAGCAAAUUCUGGAGAAGAGUCAACACUUGGAAGAAGGGAGCUGCACUGGGUACAUGGGGAAGGAACAGUGUCUCUGCAUGAGAAUGGCCAAAGAACAAGAUACAUUUCCCCGUGGAGAGCAAUCCUAGAGAGAGGGAAGCAUGGGUCAGAAUAAGGUGUACUGGCCCCAGGGUAAUAGCAUGUAUUUCUGUUGCAUUGGUGUUUCCAAAAUAAUGCUUCGGUUCCAAGUUUCAGGAAUUGGUUGGGGGAGCAUGGGGAUCAUACAGUGAUUCAGGAGCUUCCUUGCAAGUAAGUGAGUGAGCCAAUCAAAUAAUUUAUGUUUAAAUCUUUCACUGUGUUAAAUGUUGAAAAAUAAAGCAAGUGAAUUCCAUCCUAUGGUGUACACAGCCCUUAUGAUUAUCCGAUAUAGGUCUCAGCCUGAAAUAACUCUGCAUUUUCUCAGCCACUUUGCUUAACACAGUGUGAAGUGGAUCUAGGACAAGGAUACAAAAAAAAAAUACUAUUCUUCUGAGAUGACAUAAAGAUCU
RNAcentral lists this long non-coding RNA (1414 nucleotides) under Homo sapiens (human). RNAcentral describes it as "non-protein coding DPP10-AS1:6". The record is from RNAcentral. Lineage: Eukaryota; Metazoa; Chordata; Mammalia; Primates; Hominidae.